AGUAGAUCCCCCCCCCCCAGUUUAAUGUGGUACUCACAUUCACCUAGCAGAGGACAUAUGGAGAACGGUACAAUUUGGUUGCAAAAUGAAUGUCAAGAGAUCUUUGCCUGAUCAGAACUCCACUAUGCUAAGAGCUCUACAGGUGAAGAGGCAAAGCCAGUCCAUGCCCCAAACAGCUUACAACUUUGCAUAAGACCAGAGGCAACAA
Long non-coding RNA from Gavialis gangeticus (Gharial), 208 nucleotides. RefSeq lists it as uncharacterized. The transcript has 2 exons. NCBI's taxonomy places the organism in Eukaryota, Metazoa, Chordata, Crocodylia, Gavialidae. The record is from RefSeq and is a predicted model, not a curated record.